Molecule: ribosomal RNA, 922 nt
Filed under: uncultured Bacteroidota bacterium
Lineage: Bacteria; Pseudomonadati; Bacteroidota
Description: bacterial SSU rRNA
Rfam family: Bacterial small subunit ribosomal RNA
Source: RNAcentral
GAUGAACGCUAGCGGCAGGCUUAAUACAUGCAAGUCGUACGGGAUCCGAGGUAGCAAUACUUUGGUGAGAGUGGCGCACGGGUGCGUAACACGUAUGCAACCUACCUAUAACCGGGACACAACCUUGAGAAAUUGAGGCUAAUAUCCCAUAACACUGCGAAGUGGCAUCACAUUGCAGUUAAAACUCCGGUGGUAAUAGAUGGGCAUGCGCGACAUUAGCUAGUUGGUGAGGUAACGGCCCACCAAGGCUACGAUGUCUAGGGGUUCUGAGAGGAUUAUCCCCCACACUGGUACUGAGACACGGACCAGACUCCUACGGGAGGCAGCAGUAAGGAAUAUUGGUCAAUGGGCGCAAGCCUGAACCAGCCAUGCCGCGUGAAGGAUGACGGCCCUAUGGGUUGUAAACUUCUUUUGUACGGGAAAAAACCACCGGUCGUGUAUCGGUGCUGAUGGUACCGUAAGAAUAAGCAUCGGCUAACUCCGUGCCAGCAGCCGCGGUAAUACGGAGGAUGCAAGCGUUAUCCGGAUUCAUUGGGUUUAAAGGGUGCGCAGGCGGAGUGAUAAGUCAGUGGUGAAAGCCUACAGCUUAACUGUAGAACUGCCAUUGAUACUGUCAUUCUUGAGUAUUGUUGAGGUAGGCGGAAUGUGUCAUGUAGCGGUGAAAUGCUUAGAUAUGACACAGAACACCGAUCGCGAAGGCAGCUUACCAAGCAAUAACUGACGCUCAUGCACGAAAGCGUGGGGAUCAAACAGGAUUAGAUACCCUGGUAGUCCACGCCGUAAACGAUGAUCACUCGAUGUUGGCGAUACACAGUCAGCGUCUUAGGGAAACUAUUAAGUGAUCCACCUGGGGAGUACGGUCGCAAGAUUGAAACUCAAAGGAAUUGACGGGGGCCCGCACAAGCGGAGGAGCAUGUGGUUU